GCCUGACUGACUAUUCUUAUUCCAGGGUCCCUCCUUACUUAAGACGGGCUAUGGGUUGUCAAGCUCUUUUACCAGGGAUGAUAAUGACAGUACCUGGAGAAUAAGCUCCGGCUAACUCCGUGCCAGCAGCCGCGGUAAUACGGAGGGAGCUAGCGUUGUUCGGAAUUACUGGGCGUAAAGCGUACGUAGGCGGUUAUUCAAGUCAGAGGUGAAAGCCUGGAGCUCAACUCCAGAACUGCCUUUGAAACUAGAUAACUAGAAUCUUGGAGAGGUGAGUGGAAUUCCGAGUGUAGAGGUGAAAUUCGUAGAUAUUCGGAAGAACACCAGUGGCGAAGGCGACUCACUGGACAAGUAUUGACGCUGAGGUACGAAAGCGUGGGGAGCAAACAGGAUUAGAUACCCUGGUAGUCCACGCCGUAAACGAUGAUAACUAGCUGUUCGGGCUCUACGAACUUGAGUGGCGCAGCUAACGCAUUAAGUUAUCCGCCUGGGGAGUACGGUCGCAAGAUUAAAACUCAAA
RNAcentral lists this ribosomal RNA (520 nucleotides) under uncultured prokaryote. RNAcentral describes it as "bacterial SSU rRNA". It matches the Rfam family "Bacterial small subunit ribosomal RNA", at positions 351 to 905 of the family's 1533-position model. The record is from RNAcentral.